UUUAUUAGAAAAAAAAUAAGGAUUAGUAUAUUAGAGAACUUCUUCCUUAUGUUCUUUAAUAUGAGUUACCUCAUGAGCUGGGAGGUUUUUAGAAACAGUCUCUCUAUUCCUAUGAGGUAGGGGCAAGGUCUGGGUACACUCUUCCCUGCCCACACCCCACCAUAUGGGAACUACACUGGGUAUGUUAUUUUUGUUGUUUUAUAUUAGAGAACGUGACAACUAACCACUCCAACUAUUGGUAUGGUUUCUGUUUUCUGAUUAUAGUUAAGUUGUUAAGGAUGAGAUUGUAGUUGAUGAAUUGGAACUUGCUAAUUUCAUUUUCUGGAAUAUACCAAACCAUUGAAACUGCAUUAUUUGAUUGGGAGAAAUCUUCAUAUAUUUCUCUUUCAAUUUGAAGGAAUCUCAAAAGUUAGAGACAAAACGGAGAUGUUGCAUGUUGAUUAGCAUUGGCAUUGUGAUCUGAUGAGGUACAUCAACUUAUUCAGAUCAUUGCUUUUCCCUAUUUUAGGACAAAUUUAUUAUAUAGCUUGUUUAGUCAUCUCAGUCCGUGUGUUGUAAAUAAAAUGUAGGAAAUCGUUGUAGAAUUAUUUUCUCCUAUUCAAAUUUUAAAUGGACUGAGAGAUCAUUUUCUCAUCUGAACUACGCAUAAACCAAAUACAAUAAUAGCAAUACGAAAUUCCAGCUAAUUCUGUUUGUUCUUCAAUCAAUAUAAUAGUACUCUUAAGGGGGACAUACUACUUGAUCGUUUACAUCAGAUUAACGAAUACAAAAUUAUAUAAACCAUCUUCUAAUCAUUGAUUAAGUGAUAUGGAUUCUUCCUCCUCAUCUUAGAUCCCAUUUCCAUUACUUUCUUUCUUCUCAUCAACAGACUUCACUUGAGUUAUUUCCACUUUCUUAGCCUUGUCCUCUUCCUUCUCUUUCAUCUUUUUGUGAAGAAAAUUAAUCAACCCUUUAAGUGAAUCUCCAACUUCAUGUUCCUUCAACAACUGCUCUGCUACUUCUGCUGGUGUCACAUUGGCUAUGUCAAUCAAUUCCUCAAUUUCUUUGAAAAAUUUAUGAUCUUUAAUCCCCAAGUAAUUGGCAGCAAGAAGUUUGAAGCCACACGGUGUGCAAUAUGCCAUGUGAAUGUGCACGUCCAUUCUGCCAGGUCGUCGCAGCAGUACAGGGUCGAGUUUUUCUAUGUGAUUAGUUGUAAAAAUUAUGAUUCUUUCAUUUCCAUAGCUCGUCAAUAAAAUUUAGUAAACCUGACAAGGUGAUCUGCAAUAAAAAAAAUAUAUUAGUAAAGGUGAAGUAUUACACACAACACACUACACUAAUACCAAAUCCAAAUAUUCCCGAUAAUUGACACUUAAUUUAUUCAAGAAUAUCACAAAUUAAUGGAGGGUGAAAUUAUUGUGGUUCCAUGUCAGUAGAAUUUGUAAAAAAAUAUCGACUAAUCCGUAGGCAAGGAUGCAUUAGAACAAUUGUUCAGAACCCCUUCAUACUCUUGUCAUGUCGAAAUACUGCACAAAAAGAGGAAUAGUAAAGAUAGGAAACAGAAAAUAUAAGACUAAUUUACUGUGCUUUCGGACUGAUGAAAAUCAUUUGAACGAACAUACAUAGCUCGAUUAAUCAAAUUAGCUUUCAAGUUAAUGGUACAAUCAAUGUCCUCAAUCACCAAAAUUGACUUAUUGGUUGUGGCAACCAACAACUUCCUUAAAUCUGAAUUCCUCGUCACUGCAGUCAACUCCAAAUCAUAUAAAUCGACGUUUAAAUAAUUCGCUAUUGCAGCUAUCAAACUAGAUUUCCCCGUCCCGGAGGACCAAACAACAAAUACCCUCUUUUCCAUGCCUUCCCUACUUUCCUGUAAUACUCUUUCCUCGUCAUGAAUCUCUCCAAAUCCUUCAAGAUCAUGUCUUUCUGGUCAUUGUCUCAAAAGUGGUGGGAUAAUUAAAAUUCACCGACUUCCACAUGUUAUGUAAACAAAUCAUCUUUCCUUGUUUUUCUUGUGAAAUGUUAACUCAAAGGAUCUUAUUACAAAUUUCUAAGCCGAAUCCAUGUCUCUGGGGUUGUAGAAGUGUUUAGACUCUACUUGUCUACAGAGCCAAAUCCACUUGAAUGACUGUCCAUUAUAAACAUCUAUCACCUGCUGGAAUAAAACCUUAAGAUUAGAAAAUAGCAUCAUCUUCAAAAGAUUUAUUAUGUUAAAUUAUUACGAAGGCAAAUUAAAUGUGGAAGCUUACCUGAGUACCCAUGCAUAUAGAACAAUUUUUCAAAUCAAGACGUGAAUUUUAAGGGAAGUGAUAUUCACUUUUCUAAUGGUGGACGGUUAGAAAAAAUUUCAUAUGUCUAAUCUGGAGACCAUAACCCUAUUUAUAAUUACAAAUAGUUUGUUUGUUUCUAUUUUGUUUGGUUUAUCAUUAAAUUAGAAGUUGUAUCAGCAUAUCUACACAUAAAAACACAUACUUUAUGAUUUUUCUUACGAACACUUAACUUUUUGCAUUAAGUUGACUACCUAAUUACUUGUAUUCUAUGUUGCUCGGACCCUAAAAAUUGUGGUUAUAUACGUGUCAGAUUCUCCAAAAGUGCAUAGCAUUAGAAGGAUCCAAUAUUUUCACUCGACAAUCACUACAAAAAAACUGAAAUUUGCUACAAAUUUUAUUGCUUAUUCGUUGCUAAAUAGCUCAUAGCUAACACAAGUUUUGGAUAAUCUGUGGUGACAUAUAUUGUUGUUAAGCUACAAAAUUUGUCCACCACUAAUCCAUAUAUUCUUAGUAGUAAGUAUCUUUUUAGAGUCCAAGCAACAUAACUUUUAGUUUGAUCUAAAACUUUUAUUAUAACAAAUAAUAUAACAUGCAAUUAUCAUUAUUUUUUUAUUUUUUUUUUGAUAACCGAGAAAUCCGUCUGUGACCCGCCCUUUGGACCAAUCACAGCCUUCCAAACUCGGUGGAUAAUGGGCCCGCCCCUCUACCCUUCUCCACUUAAAUACCGGGCUUCGCUUUGCAUGGUGUGGGGCUUGAACCUGCGACCUAAGUCACAGAUCCUCCACCUUUUGCCACUUGAGCUAGGCCUUGGGGGCGCAAUUAUCAUUAUAUAUAUAGAUGUGUGUUUGUGUGUGCAAAUAAUUACCUCCUCAUUACGUUCCAUGGCGAUGUUAAAAAUUUUCUCCUUCUCGGUCUUACUGAUUUUAAGUCUAUGGAUUUGAGGGGACAACUUGUUGGCCAAAUAAGUCGCUGCAGCUUCAUAAAUUUUGUUGUUGACGAGGCCAUCAAAUUCGUCAAUCACCAUCGUUAGCUGAUUUGAGAACUUGGUGAACAUGUUUUUGAGUCCAAAGAAGAGAUAUGCAUGCAGUUCCUUGGGGAUGUAGUUGUGGAUUAUCGUAUGAACCAACAUGACUGUUGCAGCAACUGAGCCUACUCUCGAUAAAUCUGUCUUGGCAAGGGUUAUUUUCGAUUCUGCUGAUGAAGAGGGCAUGCUUCUUAAGGGCUUUUUGGCUAGUGGGUGUGUAACAAGUAAAUUUUUAUUCCUGAAAAUGUAAUAAUCAAGACAAAAAAAUAGCGACAAAUAUUUAAUAUUUGAUUUCAAUAAUGUGCGUGGAUCACAAUCUUUAUGAAAUCUUAAAUAUAAAGACGUAAUCCUUUUAUUGUUAUCAUCAUGACCAGUAUUUUGGAUGGCGAAAGACGCUAAAAGGCGACAAGAGUCUGCCUCGCCACAAGGCGAGGCGAGCGGCGAGGUGCUCGCCUUUUUAAAGUGCGGCACCAUUUAAUACUAAAAAAUUAAAAUAUUUAAUUGCAUAUGUGAAUAAUCAAAAUCUCAAUAACAAUAACAUAUUAGCAAAUAUGUCAAUUCAAAAACUGAAAAUAGAUAACACAUACUAAAAUAGAACUUGAAUGAGAAAAAAACAUAACAAAAGUCAAAACAAAGGUAGAAGUGAUUUUAAAGUCUAAAGAAGAAGGAAAAAGAAAUAGAGGACGAAGAAAUAUGAAGAUGAAAAGAAGAAAUAUGUAUUGGUUAGACUUUGGAGUCGCCGGAAAAGUCUGGCUAGUCACCGGAGGAGUCUGGUCGAAAACCCUAAAAUUACCUUUUAACUUUUGAAAUCCUAAAUUGUUCGCCUUUUUUUAGGAAAAUACAAAUGGUGACACCUUUCUCGCCUCUUGCCUCUCGCCUUUUGUCAUCAUGGCAUCGCAUUUUGAAGAUCGCCUCGCCACAAAGCUAAAAGGAUUUUGAAGAUCGCCUCGCCUCUCGCCAUUGGUGACGAGGCGAUCGCCUUUCACAACACUGAUCACGACCAUCAACUCAAGGUUUUUGCUUGUUCUUGAGUUGAUGAAUCAUUUGUUAUUUAAAAUUUUGUAAGAAUAUAGAGCUAGACUUUGAUCACACAUAUGGAGUUAUAGAAACUUAUGGAUCACCAUCAGAGAUGAAGAACUUGUAGAUCGCCUCUAGAGAGAUGUAUGUAGUUCUCUCCUCUUCUUUAGAUGAUCUGCUGGUUACGGAUGCCUUCUCCCAAUUCUUUUGAGUGUCUCCCUUGAGAGGUAUGUAACACCCCUAUUUAUAGUUGUAGAAGGUAGACUAUUUAAGUGUAGCUUAACUCUCUUGCUUGAUUUUGAUUGGCUCAUUUGAUGAGGUCACAUUUAAUUGGCCAAGACAUGUCAAUUUAGAACAUUUGUUUGCCUUUGAUUGGUGUUUAAUAUGACUAGGAGUGCCACAUCAUUUUAAUACGUGACAUCAUUUUAUUUGUCCUUUAUUUGACUUGAUGCGUCAUGUCAUUUGACAUGUGGCAUGGGCCUUGGCGUAAUUGAGCGGGCUCAUUAUUUGAAGACCAACUCAAUGGACUAGCUCAUGUGAAAUUGGACUCCGCUUUAAAUCCAAAUCUUGGAAUUAAAAAAAUUUAAUCUUGAUUUGGGUUUGAUAUUUAUUGAAUUUAUGAAUGUAUCUAAAUUUAAUCUAGAUUUAUUUCCAUAAAAGUCUACUAAUUCUUCAAGAUUUUGCUCUAGUGUUAUGCCUAGAGCAAGAGUGAACUUGUAGAAAGCAAGAGUGACUUGCAGAAACUGACAUCCUUGACUCAUUGGUUUAGAUUAGUUUUAAGCUAGAAGAGGUCUUGGGUUCAAUACUACUCGACCAUAAUUUUUUUUUAUGAGUAUAUUGUAUUUUUCAAAACAAAGCUUAGUUUGAGGUUUGAACCCCCGACUUCAAACACCAAAAGCAGACGGUGAACCAACAUGCAAUUAGUUUAUUCGUAUCAAGUAACAUCAUUUUGUUUUACAUAUAGCUUUAUACAUAGUAUUAAUAUAUAUAUAUAUAUUUUGUAAAUUUUUCGACGAAGCGUGUCGCUUGACACCCCUUCGCUAAACGUAAGUCUGCCUUGUUGAGCUCCUCUAUUCUUCAUAUUUGCAAAGAAAUAAGCAGAAUUAGAAUCCUCUAAUUGGAGCCACCGGACUCUAGAUUUCAGCCUAUUUAUGCUCUCCUCAAUCAUGCUCCAUUUUUCUAGUUUCAAUUUCAAUGACUUUUCCUGCUCAAACAAUAUAGGGUCGUGCCUAUGAUCCCUCAUUUGUUCUUGAUGAUCAGUUAGAUCUUUCCUGCAUUGGACUACCUUCUUAUCUGCUUGAAGGAGUUCAAUAGGGGAAAUAAGGUGAGUUUCAUAGCAAUAUUGGAACACAAGGUGAAAGAGAAUAAAGUCAGCAAUGCUAUAAAGAAGAUUGCCCAAGGAUGGGAAUGGCAAGCAAACGAAGCUCAAAGUACUAGAAAUAAAAUUUGGAUUUUGUGGAAUCUCCAACUAUAGUGGAGUACACUAUGCUUAUAUGAAAGUACCCUUCAGGGUGGCCUAGUGGUUUGGGCUUGGGACUUCUAUGUUGGAGGUCUCAAGUUCGAAACCCCUUGCCAGCGUAAGUAAGGGAUUUGCCUUCUGGUCGAGCUCGUCGCACUGGGUUGCCUAGUGCGGGUUACCUCUCCUAUGUUGUUUGCGAGCAAUUGCAUAGUAGCGGAGGUUUUACCCUGUGCGCACCCAAAGGGUAGCUGUCCCUUAUUUAAGGAAAGUUUCAAAGUCAUAGUCAAUACCAACUAUUACUAUUAAUGUUAGUCUUAGUACAAUUUUUCCUAUCUACUUUGGACAAUUUCUCACUUUAUUUGUUUUUCUUUCUUCACAUGAUUUUACUAUAAAUUUAUCAUUUUCCUCAAUGGAAAUUGCAUCAAUAUAUAGGUUACUAUUUUUAUUUACACAUUUGGUGCAUAACACUAAUAUCCACUAGCCAAAAAACCCUUAAAAAUUAUGUCCUCUUCAUCAGCAGAAUCGAAAAUGGCCUUGGCCAAGAUUGUUUUAUCAACAGUAGGCUCUAUUGUUGUGACAACCAUAUUGGUUCAUUCGAUAAUCCACGACUACAACCCCUUGGAACUCCAUGAAUAUCUCUUCUUUGGAUUCAAAAACAUGUUCACUAAGUUCUCGAAUCAGCUAACGAUGGUGAUUGCCGAAUUUGAUGGCCUUGUCAACAACGAAAUUUAUGAAGCUGCUGAAAUUUAUUUGGGCAACAAGUUAUCACCUAACAUCCAUUGACUUAAAAUUAGUAAGCUUGAGAAGGAGAAGAAUUUCAACAUCGCCAUGGAAUGUAAUGAAGAGGUAAUGUCUUGCACACACAGACACACAUCUAUGUAUAUAUAUAAUGAUAGUUGCAUGUUAUGGUAUUUGUUAUCAUAAAAUAUUUUAUACUAAACUAAAAAUUAUGUUGCUUGGACUCUUAAAAGAUAUUUACUACUAAGAAUACAUGGAUUAGUAGUGGAAUUUUUUUGUAGCUAAACAACAAUAUCCGUCACUACAUAUUAUCAAAAAAUUGUGCUAGAUAUGAGCUAUUUAGCAACAAAUUUCAUAGCAAAUUUCAGUUUUUUUUGUAAUGAUUGUCGAGUUUAUGUUGGUCCUUUCUAAAGCAAUGAACUUUUGAAGAAUCUGACACAUGUAUGACGACCACAUUUUUUAGGGUCCGAGCAACAUAGAAUCGAAAUAGUCAGGCGGUCAACUUAAUGCUUAAAGUUAAAUGUUCGUAAGAAGCAUCAUAAAAUAUGUGUUUUUAUGUAUAGAUAUGCAGAUACAACUAAUUUAACGAUAAACAAACAAAUUAGAAACAAACAAACUAUGUGUAAUUAUAAAUAGGGUUAUGGUCUCCAAAUCAGACAUAUGACUUGUUUCUAAUAGUCAAACAUUAGAAAAGUGAAUUAAAUCCUGGAUUGUUUCUUGAAUUUAUGAAUUUAUCUAAAUUUAAUUCCAUAAACUCCUAAUUCUACUAAUGCUUCAAGAUUUUGCUUGAGUGUUAUGUGUGAUAAAAUAGUAACCAGUAUAUUGAUUCUUGAAUUAUUUUAUUUUUUUUCCGAUCUACAAGAAGGUAAGGGGAAAUAGGUGCAAUGGCAAUUGAGGAAAAUGCAAAAUUUGUUGGAAAAUCAUUUGGAAUAGUAGAACAGAGGGAAUAAUUUAUAUACAGAUAAACUAGCUGUUUGAGGUCAUGCUUGCAUAGCUUAGAAACUAACAUCACAUACAGAGUCUGCGAGAAAAAGUUUAUAAGAGCGUGAAGAAUCUGUAAAUAAAAUGAUUUAUAUUCUUAUCUGCAACACUCAUAAACCAAAUACAGUAAUAGCAAUACGAAAUUCCAGCUAAUUCUGUUUGUUCAUCAAUCAAUAUAAUAGUACUCUUAAGGGGGGCAUACUACUUGAUCGUUAACGAUUACAAAAUUAUAUAAACUAAUCUUCUAAUCAUUGAUUAAGUGAUAUGGAUUAUUACUAGUUUUCUUUAAUCCCAUUUCCAUUACUUUCUUUCUUCUCAUCAACUGACUCCAUUUGAGUUAUUUCCAUGGCCUCUUCUUCUCUUUCAUCUUUUUGUGAAGAAAAUUAAUCAACCCUUUAAGUGAAUCUUCGACUUCAUGUUCCUUCAACAACUGCUCUGCCACUUCUGCUGGUGUCACAUUGGCUAUGUCAAUCAAUUCCUCAAUUUCAUUGAAAAAUUUAUGAUCUUUAAUCCCCAAGUAAUUUGCAGCAAGAAGUUUGAAGCCACAAGGUGUGCAAUAUGCCAUGUGAAUGUGCACAUCCAUUCUGCCAGGUCGCAGCAGUGCAGGGUCAAGUUUUUCUAUGUGAUUUGUUGUGAAAAUUAUGAUUCUUUCAUCUCCACAGCUCAACCAUAGCCCGUCAAUAAAAUUUAGUAAACUUGACAAGGUGAUCUGCAAUAAAAAUAAAUAUAUUAGUAAGGUAAAGUAUUACACACAACACAAUACACUAAUACCAAAUCCAAAUUUUCCCAAUAAUUGACAAUUUAUUCAUGAAAAUCACAAAUUAAUGGAGGGUGAAAUUAUUGUAGUUAGUAGAAUUUGUAAAAAUAUAUCGACUAAUCCGUAGGCAAGGACGCAUUAUAACAAUUGUUCAAAACCCCUUCACGCUCUUGUCAUGUCGAAAUACUGCACAAAAAUAGGCCAACAUAUCCUAUCCAAUUUAUGGUAAUUAAUCAGUUAUCCUAAAAACUGUAAUAGCAGGAGCAAAACCCCAUUAUCUUUCACUUGACCUGUCACGCCCCGAGCCUACACCUCGGACGUGGCUGGCACUCGAAACCAUUGCUGGCCCUAAGUGAACCCUUGGCCUGACUUACUUACUAAGCGGAAGACUCUAAGCAUUAUUACAAUGAUCAAAUGCACUUACUCAAUGGUUUAAUAAAAUAACUUUAAAUGUUUAAAAGUCAACAUUCAACUUGGCCAAAAUGGCAACUCAAGUCUUAACAUAUGAAAUGAUAAUGUAAAGACAACUGAACUACUAACUGUCUGUGAAGCCUCUAAAACAAAGAGGGAUGUCGGGACAAGACCCCCGAUCAUCUUAACAAUGAAAUACUGAAAGCAAAUGAUAAAAAGAGUCCUCCAGAAUGCAAGGAGGCUCACCAACUGACUCUGAGUGCUCAACUGGAUCAACGAAGCGCUGUAUAUUGAUCCUGGUUACCUGCGUCUGCAUCACAAUAAGAUGCAGGCCAACUGGCAUCACUACAUUGAAUGUACGAGUAUACGAGUUGGAAUGCUAAACGUAACUUAAGCUUGAAAAGAAUCUGAAAGAAACACUUACCUUGGCCUUACUCAACUCCUGAAUAACUUAACUCAAUAUAAAGCAAUAAAACACAUGCAAUAUAUAGAAAGCCUUUAAAACAGUAGAAAACAACUUAGUUCGUUAAACAAAAAGCAAUAACAAACUCAAUUUUACUCAUACAAUAAAGUAAUAUAGUUUAUGUGGGAGAUUCUCUAACCGACAACCANNNNNNNNNNNNNNNNNNNNNNNNNNNNNNNNNNNNNNNNNNNNNNNNNNNNNNNNNNNNNNNNNNNNNNNNNNNNNNNNNNNNNNNNNNNNNNNNNNNNNNNNNNNNNNNNNNNNNNNNNNNNNNNNNNNNNNNNNNNNNNNNNNNNNNNNNNNNNNNNNNNNNNNNNNNNNNNNNNNNNNNNNNNNNNNNNNNNNNNNNNNNNNNNNNNNNNNNNNNNNNNNNNNNNNNNNNNNNNNNNNNNNNNNNNNNNNNNNNNNNNNNNNNNNNNNNNNNNNNNNNNNNNNNNNNNNNNNNNNNNNNNNNNNNNNNNNNNNNNNNNNNNNNNNNNNNNNNNNNNNNNNNNNUCUUAACUUUCCUUGAAUUGAAUUAUGGAUUCAAGGUUCAUGAUCUCAUGUUUAUGGAUGAUUUCAUGAUGUUUAGAUGUACCUUAGAGUGUUGGAAUUGACUAGAAAAGAUAGGUACAUUGCUAAGGAACAAGUACGAAAAGAUGGGGGGACGAAUGGGGAGAACUGGCGUCCCUGGUGCUCUGAGAGGUGCGGGGAGCCAGCCCUCAAAAUUCAGAGACGGGUCUGGGGCGCGCUGGCUGCCACGGAGCCCAAGGGUGAAAAUUAAGAAACCCUUUUGGGGGGCGCUGGCUGGCGCGACGCCCCACCCUUUUCCCUAGGUGUUUGACGACUUUUCUUGCUCGUUUUUCAUCUCUAAACCCUCUAAACUUCAAUGGUUCUUUCCUCAAACAUUUAGAAUCGACAAAACCAUCCAAAUACAUCAGAUUAUACUUGAAAUCACAACUAAUUACAUGAAUUGGGAUCAAACAACUCCUCAACAAUUUCAACGAAUCAAGAAUUCAAAGGAGCUUCAACAAAUCCAUCAAGAAUUCAAUUUCUAAACUUUCAAAGACUUGAUUCGCUGAAAUAAAACAUGAUUUGGUGCAUGGGUGAACUGACUCAACGCUAUGUGAUCUCACAUACCUCGUAGGGAUCACCCCUUGACGAAAUCCACAAGCUAAACUCGAACGUUCUUGACGAUUUCUUGAUUUCUCUUCUCCUUUUUCCUCUUUUCUCUUUUCUCCAAGCCCUAGCGUGAACUUCAACUUUUCUAAACUGACUAAAAUCUUACUUUACCCCAAUUAAAAUCCUAAAAACGAAUUAAAACAAUUGGGUAAGGAAAAUACUAAAUUAUCCUUCCGAAAUCCGGAUUGGACUUUCCUUAUUCGAACAACCCAACUUCCAAAAAGCAUAUCUCACUCAUACGAACUCGGAAUCACGCAAACUCGGCGGCGUUGGAAAGAUUAUUCCAAGAGCUUUCCUACCAUAUUUGGAAGUAUACCUAACUCAUCCUGAUCUAGGAGUUAUGUCCGUUUGAAGUUGACCAAUACUCAACUUAUUCUAACUUAACAAAAUUUCCAAAUUUUCAUUCUUUCCAAAAAUGACUAUUUCCGAUUAUUAACUCCUUCCUAGUUAUUUCAAUUUGCAAGAUUUUACAUGACCGAUCCCCUGACUACAGAUUUCACACUACCCCAUCAACUAAAAUACAUAGCCCCAACUUUUUCUAUUUAAUCAUUUGGUAUAAAUCUGAGUUUGUACCUAGUAGGAAUAGUAAAGAUAGGAAAUAGAAAAUAAAAGACUAAUUUACCGUGCUUUCUGACUGAUGAAAAUCAUUUGAACAAACAUACAUAGCUCGAUUAACCAAAUUAGCUUUCAAGUCAAUGGUACAAUCAAUGUCCUCAAUCACCAAAAUUGACUUAUUGGUUGUGGUAACCAACAACUUCCUUAAAUCUGAAUUCCUCGUCACUGCAGUCAACUCCAAAUCAUAUAUAUCGAAGUUUAAAUAAUUCGGUAUUGCAGCAAUCAAACUAGAUUUCCCAGUCCCCGGAGGACCAAAUUACAAGUACCCUAUUUUCCAUGCCUUCCCUACUUUCCUGUAAUACUCUUUCCUCGUCAUGACCCUCUCCAAAUCCUUCAAGAUCAUGUCUUUCUGGUCUGAUUCCAUUGCGAUUGUCUCAAAAGUGGCAGCAUGAUCAAAAUUCGCCGGCUUCCACAUGUCACGUAAACUGUGAGUUUUAGGCUAAAUUCAUCCCUCAAGUAUAACCCAAACUUAGGGUACAUCCUUAUAGUAUAAUUGUGAACCAAAUACAUCCUUUAACUAUCUCAAAACACGCAUAAACAUCCUUUAUGUUAACUACUGUUAAAAAACUAACAGAAACAAUUACAUGUGCCAAGUACAUGACAUCCACCAAAUCACAUAGACUAUACUACUGAUUUCCUCCCAAAUUUUGAUCGUUUUCAAUAUUCAGCAGGGCUUUUGUCUUCUAGAAACAAAACUUCCUGUUCUUCUGAACUUAAGCAACCGUACAAGUUCUUUUUCAACAUAAGAAUUGAAGCUGGGCAAAAGAAAUAGCCAUUGAAAAAGAUUUGAUUUUACCAAUAUUGUACUAUUUUUGUUAUUUCUCAAACUAAAUAUCUUUUUCACUUUCAAAAUCAUCAGAUUUUGUAGGUUGAAAAACAAGAAACAAUACGUAGGAACAGAGAUUCCGAAUUUUCUUUAUCAUUGCAUUGAAGUUUCUAUGGAUGACACUUUUAAUUAAAAGCACCUUAUCGACCACUGAGAAAUCAUGUUUCUAGCGGCACCUCGCACAACUAAGAAAAAAUCUAUCUUCAGGCCAACAUGCUUGGUGUAUUUUCUCUCCAAAUUGUUUCUCAAGAGCUCUCCCGAAUUGCCAACGACUGUGCAUCUUCUAAAUUAUCGCUGCUAUUAGUUUUUUUCGAAAAUUUGAGUGCAAUGAUCAGUUAUAUGAGUAGUCGAUUCCAACCCUCGGUUAGCAAAGCGUUGCUGAAGGUUAGAUUGGAAGUGGGACAGUUGGAGCAGAUCAUUUUUCUGCACAAAAGCAUGAAAGAAGAGUCUCAACUUAUUGUGCGUUAUUGUUCAUGAAGAUUAAAAAUCAAUCUACAGUAUAUGGAGAUUUUGGGGAAGUCACGUUCUUAGCACAUGUAUUUGUUUCUAUUAGUUUUUAAACCGUAGUUAACAGAAAGGAGGUUUUAUGCAAGUUUUAGAAUAACUAACGGAUGUUUUUUGUUCACAAUUAUAUCAUGAGGAUGUACUCUAAGUUUAGGUUAUACUUGAGGGAUGAUUUUAGCCUAAAACUCUGUAAACUGUACAUUCUUUCGUAACCCACAGUAUGAAUCUUGAUCGUCUUGUUUUUGUGUUUUUGCAAUAUUGAGAUGUAUGGCAAGUAAGAAUUAAGG
Molecule: long non-coding RNA, 12486 nt
Filed under: Solanum tuberosum (potato)
Lineage: Eukaryota; Viridiplantae; Streptophyta; Magnoliopsida; Solanales; Solanaceae
Description: long non-coding RNA (STUB_LNC003368)
Source: RNAcentral